UGAAUGGAUGAAAACAUCUUACAACAUGCACAGGCUGUCCUCAGAGACCAUUAAAGGAGGAUUGUAAGAGAGGAAUAUGCCAACAAGAACUGCAAUGAGGAGUCGUUGACAGGAGGAAACUUUUUAAAAGAGACCACACACUACCUCAUCAACAUGCUUGAAGAUGAUCUGAGCCUGAAGAGGGACAAAGGGCCUAGUGAUAGACUACCUUUCUGCAAGUAUUGACAAUUCUGCUUUUGUAUGGUGAUAAUUUCAGGGAAUACGUGGUGAUGAGGCAUCAGUGUUGCAAUUAUCUGUUUGUGAGUGAUCAAAGAUGUUUCGCAAGCCAUAGCAAGAAAAAAGAGGUUUUGUGAGAACUUCACCAGAGAUGAGAUUGAGACUACCCAACAACAACUGUGUGAGUGAUCGAUGGGACCCAUGUCUAUACAAGAAUUCCUGGAGGGAAACAAGCCUUGUACUUUCCUGAAGGGCAAGUCCA
This is a long non-coding RNA of Lytechinus variegatus (green sea urchin), 478 nucleotides long. RefSeq lists it as uncharacterized. NCBI's taxonomy places the organism in Eukaryota, Metazoa, Echinodermata, Echinoidea, Temnopleuroida, Toxopneustidae. The record is from RefSeq and is a predicted model, not a curated record. The transcript is spliced from 3 exons.